CGUCUAGGCGGCCUUUUAAGUCUGAUGUGAAAAUGCGGGGCUCAACUCCGUAUUGCGUUGGAAACUGGAAGGCUAGAGUACCAGAGAGGUGGGCGGAACUACAAGUGUAGAGGUGAAAUUCGUAGAUAUUUGUAGGAAUGCCGAUUGGGAAGCCAGCUCACUGGAUGAAUACUGACGCUGAAGCGCGAAAGCGUGGGGAGCAAACG
RNAcentral lists this ribosomal RNA (206 nucleotides) under uncultured bacterium. RNAcentral describes it as "partial 16S ribosomal RNA". It matches the Rfam family "Bacterial small subunit ribosomal RNA", at positions 568 to 774 of the family's 1533-position model. The record is from RNAcentral.